Molecule: ribosomal RNA, 219 nt
Filed under: Neocallimastigomycetes sp.
Lineage: Eukaryota; Fungi; Neocallimastigomycota; Neocallimastigomycetes
Description: partial large subunit ribosomal RNA
Rfam family: Eukaryotic large subunit ribosomal RNA
Source: RNAcentral
UUUGACCAUUAUUUCCAACUUUUUGAUACACUUUCAAAGAGUCGGAUUGUUUGGGCAUGCAGUCCAAAAUGGGUGGUAAAUUUCAUCUAAAGCUAAAUACUGGCGAGAGACCGAUAGCGAACAAGUACCGUGAGGGAAAGAUGAAAAGAACUUUGAAAAGAGAGUUAAACAGUACGUGAAAUUGUCAAAAGGGAAGCGUUUGACACCAGUGUUGUUUUU